RNAcentral lists this ribosomal RNA (440 nucleotides) under uncultured bacterium. Its description in RNAcentral is "partial 16S ribosomal RNA". It matches the Rfam family "Bacterial small subunit ribosomal RNA", at positions 338 to 795 of the family's 1533-position model. The record is from RNAcentral.
CCUACGGGUGGCAGCAGUAGGGAAUAUUGCUCAAUGGGGGAAACCCUGAUGCAGCGACGCCGCGUGAGUGAAGAAGUAAUUCGUUAUGUAAAGCUCUAUCAGCAGGGAAGAAAAAGACGGUACCUGAGUAAGUAGCCCCGGCCCACUACGUGCCAGCAGCCGCGGUAAUACGUAGGGGGCAAGCGUUAUCCGGAUUUACGGGGUGUAAAGGGUGCGUAGACGGCAGUGCAAGUCUGGAGUGAAAGGCGGGGGCUCAACCCCCGGAUUGCUGUGGAAACUGUACGGCUGGAGUGCAGGAGAGGUAAGUGGAAUUCCUAGUGUAGCGGUGAAAUGCGUAGAGAUUAGGAGGAACACCGGUGGCGAAGGCGGCUUACUGGACUGUAACUGACGUUGAGGCUCGAAAGCGUGGGGAGCAAACAGGAUUAGAUACCCCUGUAGUC